UACAGAGGGGGCAAGCGUUGUUCGGAAUUACUGGGCGUAAAGGGCGCGUAGGCGGCCGCCUAAGUCAGACGUGAAAUCCCUCGGCUCAACCGGGGAACUGCGUCUGAUACUGGGUGGCUUGAAUUCGAGAGAGGGAUGCGGAAUUCCAGGUGUAGCGGUGAAAUCCGUAGAUACCGGGAGGAAUACCAGUAGCGAAGGCGGCCUUCUGGACAGUGACUGACGCUCAGACGCGAAAGCGUGGGGAGCAAACAGG
Molecule: ribosomal RNA, 253 nt
Filed under: uncultured bacterium
Lineage: Bacteria
Description: partial 16S ribosomal RNA
Rfam family: Bacterial small subunit ribosomal RNA
Source: RNAcentral